GGAUGCGAUCAUACCAGCACUAAAGCACCGGAUCCAUCAGAACUCCGCAGUUAAGCGUGCUUGGCGAGAGUAGUACUAGGAUGGGUGACCCCUGGGAAGUCUCGUGUUGCAUCCU
This 115-nucleotide ribosomal RNA is filed under the name Ananas comosus (pineapple). The record is from RNAcentral. Lineage: Eukaryota; Viridiplantae; Streptophyta; Magnoliopsida; Poales; Bromeliaceae.